AGCGAACGCUGGCGGCAGGCUUAACACAUGCAAGUCGAACGGGCGUAGCAAUACGUCAAUGGCAGACGGGUGAGUAACGCGUGGGAACGUACCUUUUGGUUCGGAACAACACAGGGAAACUUGUGCUAAUACCGGAUAAGCCCUUACGGGGAAAGAUUUAUCGCCGAAAGAUCGGCCCGCGUCUGAUUAGCUAGUUGGUGAGGUAACGGCUCACCAAGGCGACGAUCAGUAGCUGGUCUGAGAGGAUGAUCAGCCACAUUGGGACUGAGACACGGCCCAAACUCCUACGGGAGGCAGUAGUGGGGAAUAUUGGACAAUGGGCGCAAGCCUGAUCCAGCCAUGCCGCGUGAGUGAUGAAGGCCCUAGGGUUGUAAAGCUCUUUUGUGCGGGAAGAUAAUGACGGUACCGCAAGAAUAAGCCCCGGCUAACUUCGUG
This 435-nucleotide ribosomal RNA is filed under the name uncultured bacterium. RNAcentral describes it as "bacterial SSU rRNA". It matches the Rfam family "Bacterial small subunit ribosomal RNA", at positions 29 to 507 of the family's 1533-position model. The record is from RNAcentral.